GUGAAUCAUCGAAUCUUUGAACGCAUAUUGCACCCUCUGGUAUUCCGGAGAGUAUGCCUGUUUGAGGGUAAGUAAAAAGAAUCUUUACCAAUUUUUUUGGUCAAAGGAAAUGAGUUCUCCGCGUUUAUAGCGGUAGCUUGAAAUAAAUGGUAGUCUCAUUUAGUUGGAGCGCGGUAAUAUUAUUAUUUGGCGAAUCCUUCA
This 201-nucleotide unclassified non-coding RNA is filed under the name Ambisporaceae sp. Its description in RNAcentral is "partial contains 5.8S ribosomal RNA and internal transcribed spacer 2". The stretch from base 1 to 71 matches the Rfam family "5.8S ribosomal RNA", at positions 84 to 154 of the family's 154-position model. The record is from RNAcentral. Lineage: Eukaryota; Fungi; Glomeromycota; Glomeromycetes; Archaeosporales; Ambisporaceae.